UACGAAGGUGGCAAGCGUUACUCGGAAUUACUAGGCGUAAAGCGCAUGUAGGUGGCUUGGUAAGUCUGCUGUGGAAGCUCCUGGCUUAACUGGGAGAGGUCAGCAGAAACUGCCAAGCUUGAGUGUGGGAGAGGGUACUGGAAUUCCCGGUGUAGCGGUGAAAUGCGCAGAGAUCGGGAGGAACACCAAUGGCGAAAGCAGGUGCCUGGACCAUUACUGACACUAAGCUGCGAAAGCUAGGGGAGCAAACAGG
This 253-nucleotide ribosomal RNA is filed under the name uncultured bacterium. Its description in RNAcentral is "partial 16S ribosomal RNA". It matches the Rfam family "Bacterial small subunit ribosomal RNA", at positions 524 to 776 of the family's 1533-position model. The record is from RNAcentral.